UCAUUGAAUCUAUCGUACCCACACCGCGAAAAUACUUUUGCCCUUCUGGACAUGGCAGGCUUCAAGGCUGCCCUUCAGUUGCGCAGGUCAGGGGCUGGCUCCUUUUGGUGUCAGUUGACUUGACUGGGCGGGUCCAAUACCAACCGGAUUCCCCUUGCCUAUGGGCAAGGGGUUCUGCCGGCUGUGAGGGGUGGCGGUUAACUCACUUUAAGCAAUCAACUCUGAAGACAGACCUAUUGGCUGGCAUUGCUGGCUGUGGGCUGAAAAACUACAGACAACUCUCAACAACGGAUAUCUUGGCUCCCGUAACGAUGAAGAACGCAGCGAAAUGCGAUACGUAGUGUGAAUUGCAGAAUUCCGUGAACCAUCGAAUCUUUGAACGCAAAUUGCGCUCGAGGCUCCGGCCAAGAGCAUGUCUGCCUCAGCGUCGGCUACUACCCUCAACUAAGUUUCCUAUUAAUUAUAGGGGAUGCCAGUUGGAUCUGGCCGUCCGGUUUUGCCUUUCAGGUUGCCGGUCAGCUGAAAUUCAUUCACGUUCUGGGGGCUGCUUUCCUCGAAAGGUUACUUUCGAGGGGAGGUGAGUUCCGAUUUGGUAGGUGACCUUUGCCGGUUGCAUGCCUUCGUUGCCCGCUAAGCUUCCCAGUAGUCGUUGUGCAGGACGCCUUUUGGCUU
Molecule: ribosomal RNA, 672 nt
Filed under: Trebouxia aff. decolorans AB-2015
Lineage: Eukaryota; Viridiplantae; Chlorophyta; Trebouxiophyceae; Trebouxiales; Trebouxiaceae
Description: eukaryotic LSU rRNA
Rfam family: 5.8S ribosomal RNA (bases 277-430)
Source: RNAcentral